RNAcentral lists this ribosomal RNA (761 nucleotides) under uncultured bacterium. Its description in RNAcentral is "bacterial SSU rRNA". It matches the Rfam family "Bacterial small subunit ribosomal RNA", at positions 28 to 776 of the family's 1533-position model. The record is from RNAcentral.
AUUGAACGCUGGCGGCAGGCUUAACACAUGCAAGUCGAACGGUAACGGGAAGGAAGCUUGCUUUCUUUGCUGACGAGUGGCGGACGGGUGAGUAAUGCUUGGGAAUCUGUUUUAUGGAGGGGGAUAACUACGGGAAACUGUAGCUAAUACCGCGUAAUAUCGAGAGAUUAAAGUGUGGGACCGCAAGGCCACAUGCCAUGAAGUGAGCCCAAGUGGGAUUAGGUAGUUGGUGGGGUAAAGGCCUACCAAGCCGUCGAUCUCUAGCUGGUCUGAGAGGAUGACCAGCCACACUGGGACUGAGACACGGCCCAGACUCCUACGGGAGGCAGCAGUGGGGAAUAUUGCACAAUGGGCGCAAGCCUGAUGCAGCCAUGCCGCGUGAAUGAAGAAGGCCUUCGGGUUGUAAAGUUCUUUCGGUGGUGAGGAAGGUUGGCGAGUUAAUAGCUCGUUGAUUUGACGUUAGCCACAGAAGAAGCACCGGCUAACUCCGUGCCAGCAGCCGCGGUAAUACGGAGGGUGCGAGCGUUAAUCGGAAUAACUGGGCGUAAAGGGCACGCAGGCGGAUACUUAAGUGAGGUGUGAAAGCCCUGGGCUUAACCUAGGAAUUGCAUUUCAUACUGGGUAUCUAGAGUAUUUUAGGGAGGGGUAGAAUUCCACGUGUAGCGGUGAAAUGCGUAGAGAUGUGGAGGAAUACCGAAGGCGAAGGCAGCCCCUUGGGGGAAUACUGACGCUCAUGUGCGAAAGCGUGGGGAGCAAACAGG